UGUUCUCCUGGGACGGACAACAUCGGGAAACUGAUGGGAAAACGUCUAAGUUGCAGUUAAUUGACUGUGACGUAAACCUUUGUGUGCAGGAGAGUAAGAUUCCAUCCUAUCAGUUAGUAAGUAGGGUAAGGGCCUACUUAGACGAAGACGGGUACGGGGAAUGAGGGUUUGAUUCCGGAGAGGGAGCCUGAGAGAUGGCUACCAGGACCAAGGUCAGCCGCNGGCGCUAAAAUUAUNGAAGGCCGCCUAGGGGCGAUAGUGAGGAGACGUGUAUAACGAAGUACGUGUAAAGAACGUGCUAAUAACUGGAGGUCAAGUCUGGUGCCAGCAUCCGCGGUAAUUCCAGCUCCAGGGGUGUCUAUGAUGAUUGCUGCGAUUAAAAAGUCCGUAGUCAAUCUGACUGACUGACCUGCAAUGUGAUUGAUUAAAGAACGAGCAGGGUUAGGAAAGCAGAGAAUUAGGAGCGACCGAGGGCUAGAGUAUUGAAUGGCGAGAGGUGAAAUUUGAUGACCCAUUCAGGAGUGACAAACGCGAAGGCACUAGUCAAGGGCGAAUCCGAUGAUCAAGGACGUAGGCUAGAGUUUCGAAAACGAUUAGAGACCGGAGUAGUUCUAGCAGUAAACUAUGCCGACGCCGUGGUAUCAACAAUGGUAUUGCGGAAGAGAAAUCAAGUAAGGCUUUGGGGAGAGUACGCGCGCAAGCGAUAAAUUUAAAGGAAAUU
Molecule: ribosomal RNA, 721 nt
Filed under: Dictyocoela sp. All
Lineage: Eukaryota; Fungi; Microsporidia
Description: partial small subunit ribosomal RNA
Rfam family: Microsporidia small subunit ribosomal RNA
Source: RNAcentral